UACGAAGGGGGCUAGCGUUGCUCGGAAUCACUGGGCGUAAAGGGUGCGUAGGCGGGCCUUUAAGUCAGGGGUGAAAUCCUGGAGCUCAACUCCAGAACUGCCUUUGAUACUGAAGAUCUUGAGUUCGGGAGAGGUGAGUGGAACUGCGAGUGUAGAGGUGAAAUUCGUAGAUAUUCGGAGGAACACCAGUGGCGAAGGCGGCUCACUGGUCCGGUACUGACGCUGAGGUGCGAAAGCGUGGGGAGCAAACAGG
This 253-nucleotide ribosomal RNA is filed under the name uncultured bacterium. RNAcentral's name for it is "partial 16S ribosomal RNA". It matches the Rfam family "Bacterial small subunit ribosomal RNA", at positions 524 to 776 of the family's 1533-position model. The record is from RNAcentral.